This 398-nucleotide ribosomal RNA is filed under the name uncultured bacterium. RNAcentral describes it as "partial 16S ribosomal RNA". It matches the Rfam family "Bacterial small subunit ribosomal RNA", at positions 523 to 918 of the family's 1533-position model. The record is from RNAcentral.
AUACGUAGGGUGCGAGCGUUGUCCGGAAUUACUGGGCGUAAAGAGCUCGUAGGUGGUUUGUCGCGUCGUCUGUGAAAUUCCGGGGCUUAACUCCGGGCGUGCAGGCGAUACGGGCAUAACUUGAGUACUGUAGGGGAGACUGGAAUUCCUGGUGUAGCGGUGAAAUGCGCAGAUAUCAGGAGGAACACCGGUGGCGAAGGCGGGUCUCUGGGCAGUAACUGACGCUGAGGGGCGAAAGCAUGGGUAGCGAACAGGAUUAGAUACCCUGGUAGUCCAUGCCGUAAACGGUGGGCGCUAGGUGUAGGGGUCUUCCACGACUUCUGUGCCGUAGCUAACGCAUUAAGCGCCCCGCCUGGGGAGUACGGCCGCAAGGCUAAAACUCAAAUGAAUUGACGGGG